UGACAAUCUCUACAAUCAGCCACAGACCUGAAGACCUCGGCCAAAAAAUGGAAUGACACAUACGUUGAAGACCCUAGAGACGGAUAAAAAAUCUGAGUCCUUCCCCCUUCUCCAUCAGCGACAAGAACACCCAAAACUGAAGAAUCCCUUCAUAGCCGCCACUGCUUCUGAACCCCCUAAAAAUUUCAGCCGCAGACCACUCUAUCUCCUCCACACCUGGCCGUCGCUAUCCACCACCCUAAGAGAAAGCAAAUUCCAGCCGCCCAGACUCACUACACACACAUACACAAUCAGAAAAUUAAAAAAAAUCAGAACUAAGAGUGGCAGAGCAAAGGUGACGAGCACAACAAAAACAGUGCUAAUUUCUUCACUUCUAAUCUCAGAUGUUUGUUACCAAAUGGGGCCUAUUUGAGUCGAUUUCAUCAUGGUUGACGCUCAUUGUUCGAGUGUUUCGGUCAAGGUCCUGCUGCUCUUGUUCGGAGGUAUCGCUACUUAGGCCUAUUAUCCUUGAGGAGGCGACUGCUCUAGAGACUUCGAGAUGGUGAGGAAACGUGCUACACGAGAUGAUCAGGCACCUGUGCCCCCUACUACAGCUGUUAGAGGUCGGGCCCGAGGUAGAGGCCGAGGACGCGCACAUGGUGCAGCCAGGGCACUUGCGCGAGCUGCCGUCGAGGUAUCACCAGUGGAUCCAGCCAGAGUCUAAGCACCUGACACGCCUACUGCUACUACUACUCCAGCUCUUCAGGAGACUUUGGCACAGUUCAUGAGUAUGUACACCACUUUGGGUCAGGCAGGGUUGGUUCCCCUUGCUGCAGCUACGUCUCAGGAUGGGGGAGGAUCACAGACUCCUGCCGCCCGCACUCCUGAGCAGCGA
Nicotiana tabacum (common tobacco) is the source of this 874-nucleotide long non-coding RNA. RefSeq lists it as uncharacterized. The record is from RefSeq and is a predicted model, not a curated record. Lineage: Eukaryota; Viridiplantae; Streptophyta; Magnoliopsida; Solanales; Solanaceae.